This 492-nucleotide ribosomal RNA is filed under the name uncultured bacterium. Its description in RNAcentral is "partial 16S ribosomal RNA". It matches the Rfam family "Bacterial small subunit ribosomal RNA", at positions 30 to 507 of the family's 1533-position model. The record is from RNAcentral.
AUUGAACGCUGGCGGUAUGCUUUACACAUGCAAGUCGAACGGUAACAGGCCUUCGGGUGCUGACGAGUGGCGAACGGGUGAGUAAUGCAUCGGAACGUACCCAGAGGUGGGGGAUAACGCAGCGAAAGCUGUGCUAAUACCGCAUGUGAUCUGAGGAUGAAAGCGGGGGACCGAGCAGCAAUGUUUGGCCUCGCGCCUUUGGAGCGGCCGAUGUCGGAUUAGCUAGUUGGUGGGGUAAAGGCCUACCAAGGCGACGAUCCGUAGCUGGUCUGAGAGGACGACCAGCCACACUGGGACUGAGACACGGCCCAGACUCCUACGGGAGGCAGCAGUGGGGAAUUUUGGACAAUGGGCGCAAGCCUGAUCCAGCAAUGCCGCGUGCGGGAAGAAGGCCUUCGGGUUGUAAACCGCUUUUGGCAGGAACGAAACGGUGUCCGCUAAUACCGGGCGCUAAUGACGGUACCUGCAGAAUAAGCACCGGCUAACUACGUG